CGAGACAGUUUCGGACAGGAGCUUCUACCGACCGUCUUUCCUGCCGAACACCGUCCAAUGGAGUGAUCUGCGAGCGAGAGAGAGAGAGAGAGAGAUGAGAGCGAGAGGAAGAAACUGAGAAAUGGUGAGACCUGUGCGGGAGAGAGUGACGAGAGGUGUGCGGGACAGAGCGAGAAACAUAGAAAAAGAACGAAAGAGAGAGAUGGUGGAGAGACCGAGAGAGCGACAGCUGUGGGGGUUGUAGUAGGUGAAAAAAUAAAAGAGGGUGAGUUUAUAAUUUAUUGUGCAAAAUGAUUAAUAUCAACUAUUGGAUCUUUGAGUUAUGGGAU
This 329-nucleotide long non-coding RNA is filed under the name Ananas comosus (pineapple). RNAcentral describes it as "long non-coding RNA (ACOM_LNC022301)". Lineage: Eukaryota; Viridiplantae; Streptophyta; Magnoliopsida; Poales; Bromeliaceae. The record is from RNAcentral.